GGAGAGAGAAGCGCAAUCGGUCUCUAGUAGUCUUUAUAUUGUUAACGGAUACGUGCAAUGAUCAAUUGGGGCCCCUGAGGUCACUGUCAGCAUUCUCCCUCCACUACACGUUGAAGCCACUCACGGAGCUCCCACUAUCUCUCAUUACUCAACUUCUGAUUCAUUGAUAGUUCAACACACAUUCUGGUUCAACCUCUCGCUGUGGUUUCCACUGUUACAAAUGAACGUUUGAGCCACAGCCUCUUUCCUGGCUCACACCAGUUCACUGCUACAACCUCCAUGUCAACCCCCCCACAGUAAGGCAAGACGUGUUGAUAGUGUAUCCUGCUGCUUUUAGCCCACAGUCUCUUCACUGUUUUAGAAAACCUAACCAGGCUGUUUUGUGGUCCAUUUCAAUUGAAAACAAUUUGUGUUUUAAACUGUGACUGUAAUUCAUGAUAAACCUUUCUCUCUUAAUGUUACUGAGAAUGCCUCUAAGUUGUAAGGGGAGACAUCAGUGUCCAGCAUUGCCUUCUUUGGUAAUUGAUUUUAAGACACACUUAAAAGCCAUGUUUGUACUCUUUAAUCAACUCACUCCUCUGGUGACGUCAGUCCUAAAGAUUUAAAAAUCCAUCCUUCUCAUUACACAGGUUUCACUUAGCUGUGUGAGUGUGUUUGUGUGUGUAUGUGUGCGUGUGUGUGUGUGUGACUGACAAAGUAAAUGCAGAACGGGCUUCCUGUGAGUGAUUUACAGUCAGAAAAAGAGAAAGACCGUAUUAGGCAAUGUUUGGCUCAACGGGAGAGAUCGGUUUUGAGGGUUAUCGCAGCGUGGCUAAAGACACACACACACACACACACACACACACACACACACACACACACACACACACAAAACACACGUUCCCACUCAGGGGCUGGUAGCCUGUGGUCAAAGUGUGAGUGUCUGCACUGUAACACGGCUCCAUCUCAAGUCAUAUUCUCAUUAAACUCGUCCAAAUCAGCUAAGUAACAGUUAUACAUAUAGGGACAGUCAGUACACGUAGUACCACAGUCAGUACACGUAGUACCACAGUCAGUACACGUAGUAACACUGUCAGUACACGUAGUAACACUGUCAGUACACGUAGUACCACAGUCAGUACACAUAGUACCACGCAGCAACACAGACAUGAAUAGGGGAGGUAAGAAAAGUCAAAUGAAAAUAGUUUUCAGGCUACAGACUGACAAGUUCCCAGAUAAAAUAUUUUAAAUAUGUAUGUAUAUAAAAUAUGCUGGCUUAUCGUAUUCUUUGGUUGACCUAAAGGUCCAGACUGCUAGUGAAAAUCACAAUUGCCACAAUUUCCUGCUUUUUUGCAUGCGAUGAGUCCCUAAUGUAUUUCUUCUGGCCGUCAGUUUCCCCCACUUUGCCUUUUCAAACCAUUAUUAGUACUUCUGUUUUUACUCGGUUGAGCUGUAGAAACGCAUAGUCAGGGGGAGGAGGGUUUACAGUUCAGGGUGCUGUGGAUCUCAUUUUUUGGUUCUGAUGGCAUCUUCGGUCUGUGGCGGGGUUUGCAGCCUAGUGGGAAGCAGUCAAGAUGAGGAAUGAGGAAUGACCGAAAGAACUAGGUCACGGGUACUAGCGGCCAAAAUGGGUUUCCUGAGGAGGUCCGCUGGCGUCUCCCUUAGAGAUAGGAUCAGCUCAACCAUCCGCGAGGAGCUCGGAGUAGAGCCGCUGCUCCUUUGCGUCGAAAGGAGCCAGUUGAGGGGGUUUGAGCAUCUGGUGAGGAUGCCCCCUGGGCGCCUCCUCAAGGAGAAACCUAGGACCAACUGGAGAGAUCACAUCUCCACACUGGCCUGGGAACGCCUUGGGAUCCCCCAGUCAGAGCUGGUAGACGUGGCCCGGGAAAGGGAAGUUUAGGGUCCUAUGUGGAGCUGUUGCCCCCGCGACCCGACCCGGAUAAGCGGCUGAAGAUGAGAUGAGAGCGAGCUGUAAAAACGUUCUGUGCUUUGUCAACACCUCCAAUGAAAAAAGCGAAGAGAGGUUUUUACAGUCAGCUGGUAGGUUCAGACCCCUUACAGCAGCUCUGACAUGAUACGUCCCCGCAACGCAUUCCAGCUGUGGGACUCAAGGUCAGCCUGCUUCUGUUUGGUGGAUUAUUGUUUGCAGGUGUGGGGGACGUUGUCCAGCAGAGACCCCUCGCUUUGGGUGAGUAAAGGUGUGCCAGGGCCCCUAUAGGCUGUGAAAGGUGACACGAUAAAGGCCGGGGGGAUCUCUGCGCUGAUGGCCGAACUCAAAGUUCUCCUGGAGUUAACAAAUAGACUUCUUCAGAAAACCAUAGCUCAUUACUUUAUCAAGUCAAAUAACAGAUCUUCAUCUCUAGGAGGAAUUUAAAUUCGAUGAGAAGACCAAUCAGAAGCCAGUGGCCCGCAUUUAGUCCCACUAGGUUACUCUAUGACGUACAACGUGCUGGUAGGUGUGUACUUAACACACAGACAUGAGGAUGUCCACUAACUCUAUGGACUCUGGUUAAAUGCUCACACUGCCCUGGUCUCAUCCACGUGGCUCUUUGUGUAGAAGAAACGCCGUUACUGAGACUCUACUGAUGUGGAGCCGUGGGCCUUGUUCACAGUCAUAUAGUCACUUAUUUCACCGCUUAUUAUUCUUGUCGUUAUCAGAUUUAAUUCUAACAUGCAGCCUUUCAAUGUAAAGCCUCAAAAAUCCAUAAAAAACAUAAACUCAUAAAAAACUGUUUUACAGACACAAGAAGACAUACUGAACUCUAACUUGUGUAUCGGAUGUUACACUGGAACAGGAUGCUGGAUUGAAGCAUGCAGUCAUGUAACACACACACACACACACACACACACACACACACACAGGAGAGGGCAGAUUUUGUUUGUUGGAUGGUUCAGUGAGGGCGACACUUCCCGAGGACAGACCUUUGAGUCCCUACUGUGUGACUGUGCGUUGGUGUGUG
This is a long non-coding RNA of Gasterosteus aculeatus aculeatus (three-spined stickleback), 2936 nucleotides long. Lineage: Eukaryota; Metazoa; Chordata; Actinopteri; Perciformes; Gasterosteidae. The record is from Ensembl.